UGGGGAAUAUUGGACAAUGGGCGAAAGCCUGAUCCAGCCAUGCCGCGUGUGUGAAGAAGGUCUUCGGAUUGUAAAGCACUUUAAGUUGGGAGGAAGGGCAGUAACCUAAUACGUUGCUGUCUUGACGUUACCGACAGAAUAAGCACCGGCUAACUCUGUGCCAGCAGCCGCGGUAAUACAGAGGGUGCAAGCGUUAAUCGGAAUUACUGGGCGUAAAGCGCGCGUAGGUGGUUUGUUAAGUUGGAUGUGAAAUCCCCGGGCUCAACCUGGGAACUGCAUUCAAAACUGACAAGCUAGAGUAUGGUAGAGGGUGGUGGAAUUUCCUGUGUAGCGGUGAAAUGCGUAGAUAUAGGAAGGAACACCAGUGGCGAAGGCGACCACCUGGACUGAUACUGACACUGAGGUGCGAAAGCGUGGGGAGCAAACAGGAUUAGAUACCCUUGUAGUCCCUGAGCGGGCUGGCAAGGCGCAU
This 472-nucleotide ribosomal RNA is filed under the name uncultured bacterium. RNAcentral describes it as "bacterial SSU rRNA". It matches the Rfam family "Bacterial small subunit ribosomal RNA", at positions 355 to 825 of the family's 1533-position model. The record is from RNAcentral.